GAUGAACGCUGGCGGCAUGCCUAACACAUGCAAGUCGAGCGAACAGUCGAGGUGCUUGCUCCUCUGACGUUAUCGGCGGACGGGUGCGUCCCAUGUGGAUAACCUACCUAUCAGACUGGGAUAACUUCUGCAAAUCGGAGCUAAUACCGGAUAAUAUAUUGCACCGCAUGGUUCACUAGUGAAAGACGGUUUUGCUGUCACUUAUAGCUUGAUCCGCGCCGCAUUAGCUAGUUGGUUAGGUAACUGCUUACCAAGGCAGCGAUGCGUAGCCGACCUAAGAGGGUGGUCGGAUACACUGGAAGAGAGACACGGUCCAGACUCCGACAGUGAGACGCAGCAGAGAAUCUUACGCGAGGGACGAGAGCCGGACGGAGCAACGCGGGAUAAGUGAUGAAGGAAUUAGGAUGGUAAAGCUAUGUUAUUAGGGGAGAAGAAAUGUGUAAGUAACUGUGCACGUAAUGACGGUACCUGAUGAAUAAGCCACGGCUAACUACGUG
Molecule: ribosomal RNA, 497 nt
Filed under: uncultured bacterium
Lineage: Bacteria
Description: partial 16S ribosomal RNA
Rfam family: Bacterial small subunit ribosomal RNA
Source: RNAcentral